UGAUCUAUCCAUGAGCAGGUUGAAGCUGGUGUAAGAGCCAGUGGAGGACCGAACCGGUGUGCGUUGAAAAGUGCUCGGAUGACCUGUGGAUAGGGGUGAAAGGCCAAUCAAACUUAGUGAUAGCUGGUUCUCUCCGAAAUAUAUUUAGGUAUAGCGUCAUGUUAUUAGCAUAUAGGGGUAGAGCACUGACUGGGCUAGGGCUGCUUACCGCGGUACCAAACCCUAUCAAACUUCGAAUACUAUAUAAUUUACCACGGCAGUCAGGCGUAGGGUGAUAAAAUCAUAUGUCAAGAGGGAAACAACCCAGACUACCAGCUAAGGUCCCAAAGUUAACAUUAAGUGGAAAACGAUGUGAAGUUACUGUGACAACCAGGAGGUUGGCUUAGAAGCAGCCACCCUUUAAAGAAAGCGUAACAGCUCACUGGUCUAGCGAUUUUGCGCCGAAAAUAUAACGGGGCUAAGACAAGCACCGAAGCUCUAGAUUCAUAGUUUACUAUGAGUGGUAGGAGAGCGUUCCAUUCAGCGUUGAAGGUAUACCGGUAAGGAGUACUGGAGCGGAUGGAAGUGAGCAUGCAGGCAUGAGUAGCGAGAAAAGAAGUGAGAAUCUUCUUCGCCGUAAACCCAAGGUUUCCUACGCGAUGCUCGUCAUCGUAGGGUUAGUCGGGACCUAAGUCGAGUCCGAAAGGGGUAGACGAUGGCAAAUCGGUUAAUAUUCCGAUACCGACAUUACAUCAUUUGAGUGAUGGGGGGACGCAUAGAGUUAGACGAGGUCACUGAUGGAAUAGUGGCUCGAAGGACGUAGGUCGUGAAGUAGGCAAAUCCGCUUCACACGAGACCGAGAUCUUACAGGCAGAGCAAUUACUUCGGUAAGCGCUUUGAAUCGUCGAUACUGUCGUGCCGAGAAAAGCCUCUAAACGAGAUGUAAUGUUGCCCGUACCGUAAACCAACACAGGUGGGUGAGAUGAGUAUUCUAAGGCGCGUGGAUGAACCAUUGUUAAGGAACUCUGCAAACUAGCACCGUAUCUUCGGUAUAAGGUGUGCCCUAUUUGUUAGGAGAUUUACUCUUCAAAGCAAUGACGGGUCGCAGCAAAGUGUCCCUCCCGACUGUUUACCAAAAACACAGCACUCUGCUAACUCGUAAGAGGAUGUAUAGGGUGUGACGCCUGCCCGGUGCUUGAAUGUUAAAAGGAUUGCUUAGCUUUGCGAAGGCAUGAAUUGAAGCACAAGUAAACGGCGGCCGUAACUAUAACGGUCCUAAGGUAGCGAAAUUCCUUGUCGGUU
This 1281-nucleotide ribosomal RNA is filed under the name metagenome. RNAcentral describes it as "bacterial LSU rRNA". It matches the Rfam family "Bacterial large subunit ribosomal RNA", at positions 726 to 1977 of the family's 2925-position model. The record is from RNAcentral.